RNAcentral lists this ribosomal RNA (586 nucleotides) under Salmonella enterica subsp. enterica serovar Brandenburg. Its description in RNAcentral is "partial 23S ribosomal RNA". It matches the Rfam family "Bacterial large subunit ribosomal RNA", at positions 604 to 1191 of the family's 2925-position model. RNAcentral also lists the same sequence under 2 other names. The record is from RNAcentral. Lineage: Bacteria; Pseudomonadati; Pseudomonadota; Gammaproteobacteria; Enterobacterales; Enterobacteriaceae.
CCUUUUGUAUAAUGGGUCAGCGACUUAUAUUCUGUAGCAAGGUUAACCGAAUAGGGGAGCCGGAGGGAAACCGAGUCUUAAUUGGGCGUUAAGUUGCAGGGUAUAGACCCGAAACCCGGUGAUCUAGCCAUGGGCAGGUUGAAGGUUGGGUAACACUAACUGGAGGACCGAACCGACUAAUGUUGAAAAAUUAGCGGAUGACCUGUGGCUGGGGGUGAAAGGCCAAUCAAACCGGGAGAUAGCUGGUUCUCCCCGAAAGCUAUUUAGGUAGCGCCUCGUGAAUUCAUCUCCGGGGGUAGAGCACUGUUUCGGCUAGGGGGCCAUCCCGGCUUACCAACCCGAUGCAAACUGCGAAUACCGGAGAAUGUUAUCACGGGAGACACACGGCGGGUGCUAACGUCCGUCGUGAAGAGGGAAACAACCCAGACCGCCAGCUAAGGUCCCAAAGUCAUGGUUAAGUGGGAAACGAUGUGGGAAGGCCCAGACAGCCAGGAUGUUGGCUUAGAAGCAGCCAUCAUUUAAAGAAAGCGUAAUAGCUCACUGGUCGAGUCGGCCUGCGCGGAAGAUGUAACGGGGCUAAACCAUG